This 407-nucleotide ribosomal RNA is filed under the name uncultured bacterium. RNAcentral's name for it is "partial 16S ribosomal RNA". It matches the Rfam family "Bacterial small subunit ribosomal RNA", at positions 30 to 526 of the family's 1533-position model. The record is from RNAcentral.
AUUGAACGCUAGCGGGAGGCUUUACACAUGCAAGUCGAACGGAGUGGCGGACGGGUGAGUAAUAUAUCGGAAACUGCCCAGUAGCGGGGGAUAACUACUGGAAAGGGUGGCUAAUACCGCAUACUAUCGGAGCGGCCGAUAUCGGAUUAGCUAGUUGGUGGGGUAAAGGCUCACCAAGGCAACGAUCCGUAGCUGGUCUGAGAGGACGACCAGCCACACUGGGACGGAGACACGGCCCAGACUCCUACGGGAGGCAGCAGUGGGGAAUGUUGCACAAUGGGGGAAACCCUGAUGCAGCCAUGCCGCGUGUAUGAUGAAGGCCUUCGGGUUGUAAAGUACUUUUGGCGGGGAGGCGUUAUCCGCAGAAUAAGCACCGGCUAACUCCGUGCCAGCAGCCGCGGUAAUAC